Molecule: ribosomal RNA, 253 nt
Filed under: uncultured bacterium
Lineage: Bacteria
Description: partial 16S ribosomal RNA
Rfam family: Bacterial small subunit ribosomal RNA
Source: RNAcentral
UACAGAGGUCUCAAGCGUUGUUCGGAUUCACUGGGCUUAAAGGGCGCGUAGGCGGACCCGCCAGUCUGUGGUGAAAGCCCCCAGCUCAACUGGGGAAGUGCCAUGGAUACUGCAGGUCUUGAGGAGGGUAGGGGCGUCUGGAACGCUGGGUGGAGCGGUGAAAUGCGUUGAUAUCCAGCGGAACUCCGGUGGCGAAGGCGAGGCGCUGGACCCUUUCUGACGCUGAUGCGCGAAAGCCAGGGGAGCAAACGGG